AUCGUUUUGAUCCCCAAGAGUGCUACUGCUUCCUGUCCCUCGGACUACAGGCCUAUAAGUCUCAUGCACAUCAUUGCCAAAAUUCUUGGAAAACUGUUAGCUACUCGCUUAGCGUCUGAACUCCACCACCUUGUGUCCUCCUCACAAAGUGCCUUUAUUAAGAGAAGAUCGAUUCAAGACAAUUUUCUGUUUGUCCGUAACACUGUCAAAGAUGCGCACAUGAAGAAGAAGCCUCUGUUAUUCUUGAAGCUUGAUUUGCAAAGGCCUUCGACUCCGUUCAUUGGGACUAUCUCCUUGAGGGAGCUUUUGGUUUCAGUCAACGAUGGUGUGAUCUCAUCGCCAUCAUCCUCGGCUCCUCUUCUUCUAGGGUCUUGCUCAAUGGACUCCCGGGAAGAAUGCUUCUUCAUAAGAAAGGGCUUAGGCAGGGCGAUCCCAUCGCUCCUAUGCUGUUCAUCAUUGCCAUGGAGCCAUUACAGAGAUUGUUUUCGCUUGCCACUGAUCACGAACUCCUCUCACAAGUUUUUAACCAUGCUGCCAGACUGCGAACUAGCCUCUAUGCUGACGAUGCUGCACUCUUUCUCAACCCUGUGGCAAAUGAACUUCAAACAGUUGUGGGCUUGUUAA
This 624-nucleotide ribosomal RNA is filed under the name Triticum aestivum (bread wheat). Its description in RNAcentral is "partial small subunit ribosomal RNA". The record is from RNAcentral. Lineage: Eukaryota; Viridiplantae; Streptophyta; Magnoliopsida; Poales; Poaceae.